Molecule: ribosomal RNA, 681 nt
Filed under: uncultured Glomeromycotina
Lineage: Eukaryota; Fungi; Glomeromycota
Description: SSU rRNA
Rfam family: Eukaryotic small subunit ribosomal RNA
Source: RNAcentral
GGGUUCGAUUCCGGAGAGGGAGCCUGAGAAACGGCUACCACAUCCAAGGAAGGCAGCAGGCGCGCAAAUUACCCAAUCCCAAUACGGGGAGGUAGUGACAAUAAAUAACAAUAUGGGGCUCUUACGGGUCUCGUAAUUGGAAUGAGUACAAUUUAAAUCUCUUAACGAGGAACAAUUGGAGGGCAAGUCUGGUGCCAGCAGCCGCGGUAAUUCCAGCUCCAAUAGCGUAUAUUAAAGUUGUUGCAGUUAAAAAGCUCGUAGUUGAAUUUCGGAGUUUGUCGGUUGGUCGGGCUUCACUGUCCGCACUGGCCUGAUGGAUUCCUACCUUCUGAAUAACCAGCAUGCUAUUAAGUUAGUGCGUUGGGGAAGCAGAGCUAUUACCUUGAAAAAAUUAGAGUGCUUAAAGCAGGCUUUUGCUUGAAUAGAUUAGCAUGGAAUAAUAAAAUAGGACGGCAUGGUUCUAUUUUGUUGGUUUCUAGGAUCACCGUAAUGAUUAAUAGGGAUAGUUGGGGGCAUUAGUAUUCAAUUGUCAGAGGUGAAAUUCUUGGAUUUAUUGAAGACUAACUUCUGCGAAAGCAUUUGCCAAGGAUGUUUUCAUUAAUCAAGAACGAAAGUUAGGGGAUCGAAGACGAUCAGAUACCGUCGUAGUCUUAACCAUAAACUAUGCCGACUAGGGAUCGG